RNAcentral lists this ribosomal RNA (1304 nucleotides) under Colletotrichum spaethianum. Its description in RNAcentral is "partial large subunit ribosomal RNA". It matches the Rfam family "Eukaryotic large subunit ribosomal RNA", at positions 75 to 1410 of the family's 3401-position model. The record is from RNAcentral. Lineage: Eukaryota; Fungi; Ascomycota; Sordariomycetes; Glomerellales; Glomerellaceae.
UUGCCCCAGUAACGGCGAGUGAAGCGGCAACAGCUCAAAUUUGAAAUCUGGCCCUAGGCCCGAGUUGUAAUUUGCAGAGGAUGCUUUUGGCGCGGUGCCUUCCGAGUUCCCUGGAACGGGACGCCAUAGAGGGUGAGAGCCCCGUACGGUUGGACACCAAGCCUUUGUAAAGCUCCUUCGACGAGUCGAGUAGUUUGGGAAUGCUGCUCAAAAUGGGAGGUAUAUUUCUUCUAAAGCUAAAUAUUGGCCAGAGACCGAUAGCGCACAAGUAGAGUGAUCGAAAGAUGAAAAGCACUUUGAAAAGAGGGUUAAACAGCACGUGAAAUUGUUAAAAGGGAAGCGCUUGUGACCAGACUUGCGCCCGGUGAAUCACCCAGCUCUCGCGGCUGGGGCACUUUGCCGGCACAGGCCAGCAUCAGCUUGCCGUCGGGGACAAAAGCUUCAGGAACGUAGCUCUCUUCGGGGAGUGUUAUAGCCUGUUGCAUAAUACCCUUCGGCGGGCUGAGGUACGCGCUCCGCAAGGAUGCUGGCGUAAUGGUCAUCAGCGACCCGUCUUGAAACACGGACCAAGGAGUCAACCUUAUGUGCGAGUGUUUGGGUGUUAAACCCCUACGCGUAAUGAAAGUGAACGCAGGUGAGAGCUUCGGCGCAUCAUCGACCGAUCCUGAUGUUCUCGGAUGGAUUUGAGUAAGAGCAUAUAGGGUUGGACCCGAAAGAAGGUGAACUAUGCGUGUAUAGGGUGAAGCCAGAGGAAACUCUGGUGGAGGCUCGCAGCGGUUCUGACGUGCAAAUCGAUCGUCAAAUAUGCGCAUGGGGGCGAAAGACUAAUCGAACCUUCUAGUAGCUGGUUUCCGCCGAAGUUUCCCUCAGGAUAGCAGUGUUGAACUCAGUUUUAUGAGGUAAAGCGAAUGAUUAGGGACUCGGGGGCGCUAUAUUGCCUUCAUCCAUUCUCAAACUUUAAAUAUGUAAGAAGCCCUUGUUACUUAAUUGAACGUGGGCAUUCGAAUGUAUCAACACUAGUGGGCCAUUUUUGGUAAGCAGAACUGGCGAUGCGGGAUGAACCGAACGCGAGGUUAAGGUGCCAGAGUAGUCGCUCAUCAGACACCACAAAAGGUGUUAGUACAUCUUGACAGCAGGACGGUGGCCAUGGAAGUCGGAAUCCGCUAAGGACUGUGUAACAACUCACCUGCCGAAUGUACUAGCCCUGAAAAUGGAUGGCGCUCAAGCGACUCACCCAUACCUCGCCCUCAGUGUAGAAACGAUGCGCUGAGGAGUAGGCGGACGUGGAGGUCAGUGACGAAGCC